CCUGGCAGCUGAGUCAGUAAAGAAUCUGCCUGCAAUGCAGAAGACCUGGGUUAGAUCCCUGGGUCAGGA
Molecule: transfer RNA, 69 nt
Filed under: Bos taurus (domestic cattle)
Lineage: Eukaryota; Metazoa; Chordata; Mammalia; Artiodactyla; Bovidae
Also listed under: 2 other names
Rfam family: tRNA
About the family: Transfer RNA (tRNA) molecules are approximately 80 nucleotides in length. Their secondary structure includes four short double-helical elements and three loops (D, anti-codon, and T loops).
Source: Rfam by way of RNAcentral